RNAcentral lists this RNase P RNA (347 nucleotides) under Spirochaetes bacterium GWB1_27_13. Its description in RNAcentral is "RNase P RNA component class A". It matches the Rfam family "Bacterial RNase P class A". From Rfam's summary of the family: Ribonuclease P (RNase P) is a ubiquitous endoribonuclease, found in archaea, bacteria and eukarya as well as chloroplasts and mitochondria. Its best characterised activity is the generation of mature 5'-ends of tRNAs by cleaving the 5'-leader elements of precursor-tRNAs. Lineage: Bacteria; Pseudomonadati; Spirochaetota. The record is from RNAcentral. RNAcentral also lists the same sequence under 2 other names.
AAGGUAGAACUUACAGUCGUUAGAUAAUUUUAUUAUCUAGAGGAAAGUCCGGGCUUCAUAGGGUAUGAUGCCGGAUAACAUCCGGAAGUUUUUUAAAAACUAUGGAAAGUGCAACAGAAAACAAACCGCUAAUCUAAUUAGUAAGGGUGAAAAGGUGAGGUAAGAGCUUACCGCUAUUGAUGGCAACAUCGUAGGCACUGCAAACCCCAUCAGAAGCAAUAUCAAGCAGAGGACUGGGUGACCCGCUCAUUAAAUCCUCGGGUAGAUAGCGAAAGAAAUAUAGCAAUAUAUUUCGUAGAUAGAUGACUGUUUUAAACAGAACCCGGCUUACUCGUUCUACCUUUCUG